This 4664-nucleotide long non-coding RNA is filed under the name Brassica napus (rape). Its description in RNAcentral is "long non-coding RNA (BNAP_LNC004273)". The record is from RNAcentral. Lineage: Eukaryota; Viridiplantae; Streptophyta; Magnoliopsida; Brassicales; Brassicaceae.
UUUGAGUACGAUUUCUACCUCUGCAGUCACCAUGGAGGCAUAGGGACAAGCAAGCCCACUCAUUAUUAUGCCCUUUGGGACGAACUCGACUUCACUUCAGAUCAGAUGCAGAAGCUUAUCUUCGACAUGUGCUUCACUUUCACUCGCUGCACCAAACCUGUGUCUCUCGUUCCUCCAGUCUACUAUGCGGACAUGGUCGCAUUUAGAGGAAGAAUGUACCACGAGGCGAGUUCACGGGAGAAGAACAUUAGGCAGCCACGAGGAGCGCCUCCCCCACCGGCCGAUUCACUUUCUGCUCUGACUUUGGAGGACAAAGCAAUAUUCAAGUUGCACAAGGAGCUUGAGAACGUUAUGUUCUUUGUCUGAAAAAAAAGGUUUGGGGGGGUUAUUAUAUUUGUGUUUUUGGGUACCUAAGCUGAAGUUAAAAAUGCUAUUAUAUUGAUUAUCGUAACAGCCCCAAUAACGCAGUUUUACUCUUUCUUCUGGUAGAAAGGAGUUUGUGCGUGAAUCUAAUUGGGUUUAUUGUAGUGUGUUUCUCUUUGUUUUAAAGUCUUUGUGUUGAAAUCAGUUUGUGUUUGGUAUUGUAUUGCUCUUUGGAGCAGAGACUGCAUUAUGUAAUGGUAUUUUAUUAUAUAAUUAUAUAAUUAAGAAUCUGGGUUUUAUUAGUAGUUCAUACUCUGUUAUCGUCUUCUCAAAUUUUGUUUCUGGGUUUUGCUUCUUUUGAUGUCAGAGAUAUGUUCUCUCAUAUAUUGUUUGUGUUCUGCAUUUUCUAAAGUAGUUUCUUGGAGAAUCAAUAUCUAUUUGGUUAUUGUAGGAAUGAUUAUGCAUUUGAUCAUGCAAUCUAUGUGCCAAAAAGCUGAAGGAUAAGUCUAUGAGAGACAUAACUAUACAUAGUGAAGCUUUUCGUUGCUUUUGAUUUUAUUCAGUCAUUGGCGCUCUGUUUUUCUUCCGAGUGGUGCUCACUGAUUUUUUCCUGGUAUUAUGAAACCAUUAGAGCAAGAGCAUCAGUUAAUCCCCCUUUGGGGUUUAUCUUCUUAAAUUUUUUAUUAUUAAAUUUUUUCCUUUUUUUUUGAUUUUUUUUUUUUAAAAAAAAUUGACCAAUCGCGGGCCGCCAUGUGUCGUAGAGUCCGCGUUACAGUGAUGAACUUGAGAAAAGAGGAUAUCACGCAGGAGAGGCGAGACAAACCGAGUUCAUCGCUUUUGCUUUUUUUAAUAUUUGUUUUCUUCGUAAAACGUGUUAUACAUUUCUUUUAAACCUCUAAUGCGCAUGACCUUAGAUAUUAAUUUAAUAUAUUCACAAGUGAAGGAUUGAACACAGUUUCAAAUUUUUGGUACUGAAACUAUACUCUUCAAAGUUUGGUACUGAAGUUAUAAUUGGUAGAAUAACUGUGCUGAUAAUACAUUUAAAACUCUAGUUUCAGUUUAUUUUAUUUUUUAUAAGAAAAUAUGAACAUAAAAGUGGAAGAUAACACUUCGAACAAACUGUUGUUUUGUAAUUUUGAUCAGUUGUGUCAAUUUUGUUUCAUUUUGUUGAAGAAUAUAUUAAUCUUCUAUGUGAAUAUCAAGAAAGGAAAAACAAAUUAUAUUAUUUUCAGAAAAACUAUAUCCGUAAAUAUCCGUAAACAAAUUAUUUUAUUUUCAGAACAAAUCCGUUUUUGUUUGAUGUUUUAAUUUAAUAAAAACCAUAAAAUAAUAAAUCAUUUUAUUAAAGUUUUAUGAUUGUUUUUUUUUGCAUUUGUUGUUUGAGAUUUAUUUAUAAUUAAAACAAGUUUUUACACAUAAGUUCAAGUUAAUAUUUGUAAUUUAUAUCAUGGUGCAUAGAUUAAUUGUUAUAAACUUUGUACUUAGGAUUAGAGAAAAUAAUAUAUCUAAAUGUUUAAACUGAACACAACCAAAUAAGAAAUUAAAUGAAAAGUAAAAAAAAUGAAAGUCAAAUACAACUAUCAAUUUAAUGUUUAUACAACAUUCUACAUGUUUUUAUGUAUUAAUUUAAUUUUUUAUUAAAUAAGUCUUUAAAUUUUUGUUUCGUUAGGAUUUUUUUAAAAAGGAAAACAUUUAUUUUAUAAACCUCCUUUUUAUUUACAAUUAAAAAACUAAAAAUAAUAUUAAAUUUAGUAUCAAUACUAAUUUUUAGUAUCAUACUAUUUUACAAUUUUGUUAAUUAAAUAAUUUUUAGUAUUAUUUCAUCAUCAAAUACUCUUUUAAAAAUAUUAUCAAAUAAUUUUUGACAAUUUUCUUUUAGUUAGGACUUAAAAAUAUGAUACAAAUUUCUUUAUUUAGGAUUUUUAUACAAAUAUAAAACAACUAUCAAAUAUUAUUUUACUGUUUUUUAGGAUUUUAGAAAACGAAAUUAAUAUUACAUAAUAUUUUACAAUUAUAUUUUAUCUAGGAAUUUUUUUUUUACAACAAAAGGCUAAAGAGAGACUAAAUAGAUUUCUGAUCCAAGAGCCACCUCGGAGAUUUUGUCUAGGAUUUAGAAAAGUAAAAUUUCUAUCAAAUAAUUAUUUCGAGUUAGUAUUAGGCCUGAAACUUUUAUCCGAAAUAAUUGAUUAAGAUUAGAAAAGAAAUUUCUUUUUUAGAAAUCUUUUUUAUUUUGGAUUUUAGGAAAAUAACAAGUUAUUUUUACAUAAUGACAGUUUUUAUUGACACAUUCACAAUCUAUUUUUUUAAUUGACACAUGUCAUAAUCAUAUUAGGUGAAAUAUUUGAAGUUAAUUUUGAUUUAUAUUUUUUAACACAAAAUUAAUAAAAAGUAAAGUUUAAUUAUAAGAAAAAUAAGAUUAUUUUUAUAUUUUUAUUUUAUUUAGACUUUUAAAAAGGACAUUAAUUAUUUAAUAAUUAGUUUUCUUUUAGAUUUUUAUACAACUAUUUUAUUUUUAUUAGAAAAAAUUCUGUUUAUUAUUUAUAUAUUUUUUCUUAUACAUAAAACACAUAUUCAUCAUAUUCACACAUACUCAUGUACGACAACAACAUCAAAACUAAAAAUUAUGUUAGCAUCAUAAGAUUUAAAAAGUAUAAUGAAAGGUUGAGUUGUAUGAAGAAUUAAAAGAAAAUACUAAGGUAAUAUUUUUCAUGUAAAUACUAUUGUGUUUUUGUAAAAAUAAUAUGUAGAAGCUUAAAUAUAGAUGUGAAAUAUUUGUAGCUAUUUUUUGUCAUAAUUUUUUAACAUACAAUUAUCUAUUAAAAAAAAGAAAGUUAGUUACUUAUAAAAAAACAAUAAGAGUGAUUUUACAAUUUUCUUUUAAUUAGGCUUUUUAAAAAGUAAUAUUAUUUAUUAAAAAGUUAGUUUUUCUUCAUGUUUUUAUUAAAUAAUUUAUUGUACUUGUAGAAUUUUACAAUUCGUUUUUGUUUAACAUUUUUCUCUUAAAAGUUAAUAUUUAUCGUUUAUAAUUAUCUAUCUUUAGUAUCUUUUAAAACAAACAUUAUAAUAAAUAAUAAUAAUAAUAAGACUAUUAAAUAAUAUUUACAAUUAUUUUUUAAGAAAAAUCGUUUUCAUUAUUUUAAUAUAUAUAUAUAUAUAGAUGGCUGACAACUUUGUGGGCCUGCUUAUUAAUCGUUGUAAGACACUUGGGAUGCAGCUGAGGGAUCCCAUCAUUUUCAAAUCAGCAAGAAUGAAUUUGCUUUCUAAUGCUAAUGCUCUCGAGGAUUUGCUUCGACAAGUGAUUGACGAGGCUAAGCAUAACCAUGGUGGGGCUCGCCCAACUCUUGUUCUGUGUGCUAUGUCUGGGAGGGUUGAUGGCUACAAGACUCUCAAAUGGAUAGCCGAGACCAAGCUUGGUCUGGUGACUCAGUGUUUCUUGACCAAUUCCGCCAGUAGAGGAGGUGACCAGUAUCUGGCAAAUCUCGCCCUCAAGAUCAAUGCAAAAGUUGGCGGAAGUAAUGUUGAGCUGAUGGAUAGUGGCUACUCUUUCUUCAAAAGAGAGGACGAGGUCAUGUUCAUUGGUGCUGACGUCAACCAUCCUGCUGCUCGAGACACGACGAGCCCCUCCAUUGUUGCUGUUGUGGGCACUCUAAACUGGCCUGAAGCUAACCGUUACGCAGCUAGAGUCAUUGCACAGCCUCGCCGGAAAGAGGAGAUUCAAGGAUUUGGUGACACGUGCUUUGAGCUUGUUAAAGCUCAUUAUCAGGUCACAAGGAAACGGCCUAACAAGAUUGUUAUCUUCCGUGAUGGUGUCAGUGAUGGUCAGUUCGACAUGGUUCUUAAUCGUGAGUUGCUUGAUGUGAAGCUUACUUUUGAGAGGGACAACUACUUCCCCAAGAUUACUGUAAUCGUGGCGCAGAAACGUCAUCAAACCCGUUUCUUCCCUGAUACACCCAAUGACGGAAGUGACAAGGGAAAUGUUCCUUCAGGUACGGUGGUCGAUACCAAAGUCAUCCACCCGUUUGAGUACGAUUUCUACCUCUGCAGUCACCAUGGAGGCAUAGGGACAAGCAAGCCCACUCAUUAUUAUGCCCUUUGGGACGAACUCGACUUCACUUCAGAUCAGAUGCAGAAGCUUAUCUUCGACAUGUGCUUCACUUUCACUCGCUGCACCAAACCUGUGUCUCUCGUUCCUCCAGUCUACUAUGCGGACAUGGUCGCAUUUAGAGGAAGAAUUUACCACGAGGCGAGUUCACGGGAGAAGAACAUUAGGCAGCCACGAGGAGCGCCUCCCCCACCGGCCG